Molecule: long non-coding RNA, 696 nt
Filed under: Gallus gallus (chicken)
Lineage: Eukaryota; Metazoa; Chordata; Aves; Galliformes; Phasianidae
Description: lncRNA (ENSGALG00010006545.1)
Source: RNAcentral
UAGAAACGUCUGCAUCAAGACUGGCUGUUCCUUAAAAGGCAAAGUUAAAGAUCGAGGGGAGAUCGUCUGGCACACGUAGCACAGCAGAACCUGGAGCCCCGUGCCUGCACCAGAGGCGAUGGGCAUGAACGGAAACAUGGGAGGUUCUGUCUGAACAUCAGAAAAUAGUCCUUCAGAAUUAGGAAAUUUCUUCUUGGCUGUAGAGGAAGCACAAGGAGAUUAAGCUUGCUGGGCUAAAGAAAGUGAAUCCACUGCUGUGAGUACAGAAUCUCAGAACUGGAGGGGAUGGAAGGGACCUCUGGAGAUCAUCCAGUCCAAAAGCUCCAUUAACAGGUUGUAUGCAAGCAGGUGGGAGAAGACGACUACCCCAGGAUGUGGAGAUGGAUGUGGCUAAACACUUAACAAACCUUGAGAAUGAAAAUAAACAGCCUCUAUUGCAGUUUCCUUGGCGCCAGUGUUCUUCCUGUUAGAGCACAGGUUUUGGCAAGCGGCUGGGAUAAGCACUUUGGCAGGCUGCUCCUCCUCGUGCUUUGGAGCAACGCCUGACUGGCUGGUGAGAGCCAUCAGCUGUCAUCAGCUAAACCCACUUUCACGCAUUUUUUUUUUCUAGCUUAUCAAACCAUUUGUUUCUCUGCUGGUACACGGUUCAUAGAUCUGCCUUCCCAAGCUGCUUACUAAUCAUUGACUCUUUUUCCC